This 236-nucleotide ribosomal RNA is filed under the name uncultured bacterium. RNAcentral's name for it is "partial 16S ribosomal RNA". It matches the Rfam family "Bacterial small subunit ribosomal RNA", at positions 100 to 334 of the family's 1533-position model. The record is from RNAcentral.
CGGGACGGGUGAGUAACGCGUGGGUAACCUGCCUCAUACAGGGGGAUAACAGUUGGAAACGGCUGCUAAUACCGCAUAAGCGCACAGUACCGCAUGGUACGGUGUGAAAAACUCCGGUGGUAUGAGAUGGACCCGCGUCUGAUUAGCUGGUUGGUGAGGUAACGGCUCACCAAGGCGACGAUCAGUAGCCGGCUUGAGAGAGUGAACGGCCACAUUGGGACUGAGACACGGCCCAA